This 468-nucleotide ribosomal RNA is filed under the name uncultured bacterium. Its description in RNAcentral is "partial 16S ribosomal RNA". It matches the Rfam family "Bacterial small subunit ribosomal RNA", at positions 28 to 507 of the family's 1533-position model. The record is from RNAcentral.
GACGAACGCUGGCGGCGUGCUUAACACAUGCAAGUCGAACGGAAAGGCCCUGCUUUUGUGGGGUGCUCGAGUGGCGAACGGGUGAGUAACACGUGAGUAACCUGCCCUUGACUUUGGGAGAACUUCAGGAAACUGGGGGUAAUACCGGAUAGGAGCUCCUGCUGCAUGGUGGGGGUUGGAUAGUUUCGGCGGUUGGGGAUGGACUAGCGGCCUAUCAGCUUGUUGGUGGGGUAGUGGCUUACCAAGGCUUUGACGGGUAGCCGGCCUGAGAGGCUGACCGGCCACAUUGGGACUGAGCUACGGCCCAGACUCCUACGGGAGGCAGCGGUGGGGAAUAUUGCACAAUGGGAGGAAGCCUGAUGCAGCAACGCCGCGUGCGGGAUGACGGCCUUCGGGUUGUAAACCGCUUUCGCCUGUGACGAAGCGUGAGUGACGGUACUGGGUAAAGAAGCACCGGCUAACUCCGUG